RNAcentral lists this ribosomal RNA (498 nucleotides) under uncultured bacterium. RNAcentral describes it as "bacterial SSU rRNA". It matches the Rfam family "Bacterial small subunit ribosomal RNA", at positions 28 to 517 of the family's 1533-position model. The record is from RNAcentral.
GAUGAACGCUAGCGGGAGGCUUAAUACAUGCAAGUCGAGCGGCAAGUUUUGAUAGCAAUAUUGGAACCUAGAGCGGCGCACGGGUGAGUAACGCGUACAUGACCUGCCCUAUACUGGGGGAUAGUCUUGGGAAACUGAGAAUAAUCCCGCAUGUGAUUAGAAUGCUGCAUGGCAAAUUAAUUAAAGCUGAGGCGGUAUAGGAUGGGUGUGCGUCUGAUUAGCUAGUUGGUAGUGUAACGGACUACCAAGGCGAUGAUCAGUAGGGGGCGUGAGAGCGUGACCCCCCCACACGGGUACUGAGACACGGACCCGACUCCUACGGGAGGCAGCAGUAAGGAAUAUUGGUCAAUGGAGGGAACUCUGAACCAGCCAUCCCGCGUGAAGGAUGAAGGGGGCUCUGCCUUGUAAACUUCUUUUGCAUGGGACGAAAAAACUUAAUUUAUUAAGGACUGACGGUACCAUGAGAAUAAGCACCGGCUAACUCCGUGCCAGCAGCCG